Molecule: ribosomal RNA, 254 nt
Filed under: uncultured bacterium
Lineage: Bacteria
Description: partial 16S ribosomal RNA
Rfam family: Bacterial small subunit ribosomal RNA
Source: RNAcentral
UACAGAGGUCUCAAGCGUUGUUCGGAUUCAUUGGGCGUAAAGGGCGCGUAGGCGGCCACUGCAAGUCAGUUGUGAAAUCUCCGGGCUUAACCCGGAAAGGUCAACUGAUACUGCAGGGCUAGAGUGCAGAAGGGGCAACUGGAAUUCUCGGUGUAGCGGUGAAAUGCGUAGAUAUCGAGAGGAACACCUGCGGCGAAGGCGGGUUGCUGGGCUGACACUGACGCUGAUGUGCGAAAGCCAGGGGAGCGAACGGG